This 319-nucleotide ribosomal RNA is filed under the name Rhodococcoides kyotonense. RNAcentral's name for it is "bacterial SSU rRNA". It matches the Rfam family "Bacterial small subunit ribosomal RNA", at positions 293 to 624 of the family's 1533-position model. Lineage: Bacteria; Bacillati; Actinomycetota; Actinomycetes; Mycobacteriales; Nocardiaceae. The record is from RNAcentral.
UGAGAGGGUGACCGGCCACACUGGGACUGAGACACGGCCCAGACUCCUACGGGAGGCAGCAGUGGGGAAUAUUGCACAAUGGGCGAAAGCCUGAUGCAGCGACGCCGCGUGAGGGAUGAAGGCCUUCGGGUUGUAAACCUCUUUCAGCAGGGACGAAGCGCAAGUGACGGUACCUGCAGAAGAAGCACCGGCUAACUACGUGCCAGCAGCCGCGGUAAUACGUAGGGUGCGAGCGUUGUCCGGAAUUACUGGGCGUAAAGAGUUCGUAGGCGGUUUGUCGCGUCGUUUGUGAAAACCCGGGGCUCAACUUCGGGCUUGC